RNAcentral lists this small nuclear RNA (160 nucleotides) under Sorex araneus (European shrew). RNAcentral's name for it is "U1 spliceosomal RNA (ENSSARG00000015646.1)". It matches the Rfam family "U1 spliceosomal RNA". From Rfam's summary of the family: U1 is a small nuclear RNA (snRNA) component of the spliceosome (involved in pre-mRNA splicing). Its 5' end forms complementary base pairs with the 5' splice junction, thus defining the 5' donor site of an intron. There are significant differences in sequence and secondary structure between metazoan and yeast U1 snRNAs, the latter being much longer (568 nucleotides as compared to 164 nucleotides in human). Lineage: Eukaryota; Metazoa; Chordata; Mammalia; Eulipotyphla; Soricidae. The record is from RNAcentral.
CUAGUUACAUCACUGAAGAGAGGUCAUGAUCACAAAGGUGAUUUUUCCUGGGGAGAGGCUUAUCUAUUGCAUUCUGAGUAUGCUGAACCCUGUCCUUUAGUGCAGGAAGCCCAAUGGCAUAAUUUGUAGUAGAUGGACAUUGUCUUUGGGCUCACUCCUG